UUAAUUCACAUUUAUUGCUAUUUUUAACAUUAAAACAGUACAAAUUAAUUAACAAUGCGUAAAACGCCGGCAAUGCACGCGUUGUAACUCGAUCAAAACAAGAAGUGCGGGGUCGCAGGGAGAUGUGGUUGACACGGCAUGCAUUGUAAGUUUACUUAUUAGAACAGGAACGUAAAUAUACGGCGGAAUAAAUAAUGGUAACAAUUUUUUUAUUUGAAAUGAUAAUUAUAUUUUAAGAAUGAAAACAUCGUAAC
This is a long non-coding RNA of Maniola jurtina (meadow brown), 254 nucleotides long. RefSeq lists it as uncharacterized. The record is from RefSeq and is a predicted model, not a curated record. The transcript is spliced from 3 exons. Lineage: Eukaryota; Metazoa; Arthropoda; Insecta; Lepidoptera; Nymphalidae.